This is a non-coding RNA of Candidatus Lloydbacteria bacterium, 286 nucleotides long. Lineage: Bacteria; Candidatus Lloydiibacteriota. The record is from Rfam.
AUGUAAAAGGGGAUGAAGAUAUAGUCUGCGCCUCUAGAAAUAGAGGAAUAUCGUGACGAGAGGACCGAAAAGUACUGACCUCUGGUCUAUCUGCUGUCCUGCCAAGGGCACUGCAGAGUAGCUAUGUCGGGAACGGAUAACUUCUGAAAGCAUCUAAGAAGGAAGCCGACCCCAAGAUUAGGAAUCGUUUGAGACACCUCGGAGAUGACGAGGUUGAUAGGCUCUAGGUGUAAGCCCCGCGAGGGGUUAAGCCGAGGAGUACUAAUGAGUCGAUUGAUAUUCUAUU